RNAcentral lists this ribosomal RNA (823 nucleotides) under uncultured bacterium. Its description in RNAcentral is "bacterial SSU rRNA". It matches the Rfam family "Bacterial small subunit ribosomal RNA", at positions 443 to 1279 of the family's 1533-position model. The record is from RNAcentral.
GGAAGAAAAUGACGGUACCUGCACUAAAGAAGCUCCGGCUAAAUACGUGCCAGCAGCCGCGGUAAUACGUAGGGGGCCAGCGUUGUCCGGAAUUACUGGGCGUAAAGGGCGCGUAGGCGGCAUGAUAAGUCAGAGGUGAAAUUCCGGGUUUCCACCCUCGGAACUGCCAUUAGAACUGUAUGCCUUGAGUGUCGGAGAGGCAAGUGGAAUUCCCAGUGUAGCGGUGAAAUGCGUAGAGAUUGGGAGGAACACCAGUGGCGAAGGCGGCUUUCUGGGCCGUAACUGACGCUGAGGCGUGAAAGCGUGGGGAGCCAACAGGAUUAGAUACCCUGGUAGUCCACGCCGUAAACGAUGAAUAAUAGGUGUAGGGGGUAUCGUCCCCUCCUGUGGCGGCGUAGACACCAUAAGCAUUCCGCCUCGGGAGUACGGCGACAAGGAGGAGGCUCAACGGAAGAGUUGGGGGCGGGCGCAAGCAGCGGAGCAUGUUGUUUUUUUUGUCGCAAUAUGGAGAACCACAUCAGGUGGUGAUAUCGUUGUAAACCCGAAGCAAUGGGGCGUGGGUUCCCCCGACGGGAAACAUGUGGCACAUGGUCCUCGUCUGUUAGUGUCGUGAGUGGUUGGGUUAAGUCGUGCCUCUCGCGCCUCCCACACCGUCUGUUGAUAGUGGCUAAGGCGGAGCACUCUGCCGAGACUGCCAUAGGACAAACGGGAGGAAGGCGGGGACGACGUCAAAUCAUCAUGCCCCUUAUGUGGUGGGCUACACACGUGCUACAAUGGCGGCCACUAAGGGAAGCAAACCCGCGGGGGCAAGCAAAUUUCCCAA